CAAAGCAUCCAAGAAGCUUAAAAGCUCACCCAAAACUCAUUUGGCACUUCCCGAACACAAACCAAAUAUGCUACUAGCUUGAAAAUGACAUUUUGAACUCAAUAAAAUCGUCGGAAUUUGAAUUUGAGGUCUCCUUGACCCGGUAUCCGAUAAGGCGUCAAGAAACUAACUUUAGGCUCAAAAACUCGAAACGCACUCGGGGCCUCUAAAAAUUCAACCAAGACUCAUUCUAGACUUAGAAUCAUCCCCUGAAACCAACGGCGCCCUCGGAAUUUCAUUUCGAGCACCGG
This 290-nucleotide long non-coding RNA is filed under the name Solanum tuberosum (potato). Its description in RNAcentral is "long non-coding RNA (STUB_LNC001183)". Lineage: Eukaryota; Viridiplantae; Streptophyta; Magnoliopsida; Solanales; Solanaceae. The record is from RNAcentral.